Molecule: unclassified non-coding RNA, 1407 nt
Filed under: Hevea brasiliensis (rubber tree)
Lineage: Eukaryota; Viridiplantae; Streptophyta; Magnoliopsida; Malpighiales; Euphorbiaceae
Source: RNAcentral
CUUGAAGGUGGUUUAUUGAGGACUUUAGUUUCUAUUUUCAUUAUAUAUGAGACGCAACAUAUUUGAGAUGGAAAUUCAAUUAAGAUACAGCAUAUUUGCAGUGGAAGUGCAAUCUGAUUGAAUAUUUCAUCUUCAUUUUCUAUGUAUUUUGCAUUUGUUUAUGUACAAAUUAAUUUUAUGCAUAUUGCUUGCUACUUGAAACGAAUGAUUUUUACAUUUUUAGUGAGGCAACAACUAAUUUGUUCUGGUGCAUUUAGUUCUACUUGAUUAUAUCAUGUCAUAUUACUUCAUACUCUCUUUAUGUUAUACACCUUCGAUAGAUUUUAAUGGUGAAAUUUGUGUUCUUUCUGUAAUGCAAUGAUGUAGGCCCUUGCAUGAAAUUACUUUUUCAACUGAUGACAAGCCAAAACUUCUUAGUCAGGUAAGAUAGGUAUGCUUGUUAGAGUAUGCAAAUUGCCCUUAAUAAUGUUUUACCAUAGUUUGAUUGACUUGGGAAAGUCAAAGUGUAGGCCCUUGCAGGAAUUUACUUUCAGUAUGUAUUUUUAAUGAUUGCAAAUGUAGUUUAGUAUUUAUUUCACUUGUUGAUUUUGUCAGCUAGCAGCUGAGGUGGCUGGUGAUGUUGCAUGUCAAAUAGCUCAAAUUACUUGUGAGCAACAAGAGGGUGCCUGAUAUUGUAAUUUGGAAAUUAAUAAUUUAAAUAACCACAUUUAGGAUCUGCCUGGCAUUGUUGUUGUUAGUGCAGUCAAGAAAAACUUCCUCAAAAGUAUACUGAUUGCAAGCAAUUAAAAAUUGAUUUGAAGGUAUUUUCCUCAUGUUUUGGCAACAGAAACCCUAACACAGCUCAAAUACAGUUAGGAAUUACUUUUUGGAAAGCAUUUGAAAGGGUGUUUUCCCAAAAAGCAGUUCAGAUGCAUGCGAAAUGGGCAUCUGGCUAUUAUUUCAAUGAAGCUGCUGCUUAUUGAGAUUGAUUAAUCUUAAAAGAGAUCACAUAUAACUAUCUUCCCUUGAUUAAUUUUAAUGAAACCAACAUAUAACAAUCUUCCCUAUCUGACAUGUGUAGUAUAAAUUUUUUCUCCGAUUCCUUUUCUUGAUUCAUGCAGUUAUAGAUCUUGUGCAAAAUUCGCAGUUGACUUCGUUACUUGCUGAGAUUGGGUUGAACAUCCAAGAAGCACAUGCUUUCUCCACAGUUGAUGGCUACUCCUUGGAUGUCUUUGUUGUUGAUGGUUGGCCAUAUGAGGAAACAGAGCAGCUUAGAAUUGCAUUGGAAAAGGAAGUUUUUAGGAUUGAGAAGCAGAAUUGUUCGAAUCAUCAUUCAUUAUCACAUAAUGAUAAGCAUGAGCAAACCCAAAUCAAAUAUGAUCCUGAACAUGUGGCAAUACCUAAUGAUGGAACUGAUGUCUGGGAAAU